GUGAAUCAUCGAAUCUUUGAACGCAAAUUGCACUCUCUGGUAUUCCGGAGAGUAUGCCUGUUCGAGGGUCAGUUUAAAUAAAAAUCGGUGUGGUUGCUGCCUUUCGUGGUGACGCACCGGAUUUGAUUCGUCUUGCCUUCGGUUAAUUGACCUAAAAUUUUGCAUGUUUUUUUCGAACGUAUUUAAUUGAUUUUACGUACGUUGGCUAUCACGAAUACUAGGUGCCGGACUC
Molecule: unclassified non-coding RNA, 232 nt
Filed under: Glomus sp.
Lineage: Eukaryota; Fungi; Glomeromycota; Glomeromycetes; Glomerales; Glomeraceae
Description: partial contains 5.8S ribosomal RNA and internal transcribed spacer 2
Rfam family: 5.8S ribosomal RNA (bases 1-71)
Source: RNAcentral